UACGGGGGGGGCAAGCGUUGUUCGGAAUUACUGGGCGUAAAGGGCGCGUAGGCGGCCUUCUAAGUCGGACGUGAAAUCCCUCGGCUUAACCGAGGAACUGCGUCCGAUACUGAAAGGCUUGAAUCCGGGAGAGGGAUGUGGAAUUCCAGGUGUAGCGGUGAAAUGCGCAGAUAUCAGGAAGAACACCAAUGGCGAAGGCAGCUCUCUGGGACGGUACUGACGCUGAGACGCGAAAGCGUGGGGAGCGAACAGG
This 253-nucleotide ribosomal RNA is filed under the name uncultured bacterium. RNAcentral's name for it is "partial 16S ribosomal RNA". It matches the Rfam family "Bacterial small subunit ribosomal RNA", at positions 524 to 776 of the family's 1533-position model. The record is from RNAcentral.